Molecule: ribosomal RNA, 299 nt
Filed under: Clostridioides difficile
Lineage: Bacteria; Bacillati; Bacillota; Clostridia; Peptostreptococcales; Peptostreptococcaceae
Description: partial 23S ribosomal RNA
Rfam family: Bacterial large subunit ribosomal RNA
Source: RNAcentral
GGCCAGCGAGAGAACUGUUGUUAAGGAACUCGGCAAAAUGACCCCGUAACUUAGGAUAAGGGGUGCCACCAUCAGGUGGCCGCAGAGAAUAGGCCCAAGCGACUGUUUACCAAAAACAUAGGUUUCUGCUAAGUCGCAAGACGAUGUAUAGGAGCUGACGCCUGCCCGGUGCUGGAAGGUUAAGGGGAUCUGUUAGAGCAAUCGAAGCAGUGAACUUAAGCCCCAGUAAACGGCGGCCGUAACUAUAACGGUCCUAAGGUAGCGAAAUUCCUUGUCGGGUAAGUUCCGACCCGCACGAA